GACGAACGCUGGCGGCGUGCCUAAUACAUGCAAGUCGAGCGGACAGAUGGGAGUCUUGCUCCCUGAAAGUCAGCGGCGGACGGGUGAGUAACACGUGGGCAACCUGCCUGUAAGACUGGGAUAACUCCGGGAAACCGGGCUAAUACCGGAUAACUCUUUUCCUCUCAUGAGGAAAAGCUGAAAGAUGGUUCCGGCUAUCACUUACAGAUGGGCCCCGGCGCAUUACGCUAGUUGGUGAGGUAACGGCUCACCAAGGCCACGAUGCGUAGCCGACCUGAGAGGGUGAUCGGCCACACUGGGACUGAGACACGGCCCAGACUCCUACGGGAGCAGCAGUAGGGAAUCUUCCGCAAUGGACAAAGUCUGACGAGCAACGCCGCGUGAGUGAUGAAGUUUUCGGAUCGUAAAACUCU
This 413-nucleotide ribosomal RNA is filed under the name uncultured bacterium. RNAcentral's name for it is "bacterial SSU rRNA". It matches the Rfam family "Bacterial small subunit ribosomal RNA", at positions 28 to 434 of the family's 1533-position model. The record is from RNAcentral.